UUCAAUAACAACAUGCUUAAAUGAAAUGGAUGUCACCUUUCAAACAAUGAAGUGCAAGUAGAGUUUCAAACUCACGGUAAGAAAUGGUAGUAUGCUGCUGAUUUUGGCAAGACAAAAGGAUUGAAGGAGGGUGGCAAGAUUUCUAUGUGUGUGGCCUCUAUAUAUAGAGAGCCAGUUGAAGCUUUGAGAAGUUUAAACAUUAAUAUGAAGUGUUAUACCCUGAUUUUAAACCUAAAAAAUACUCGUUCAAAUUUCUUUUCUACCACUGAUAAUUGUCAAUUUACUGUCGUGUUACUUUGAAUCUUCACUUUAUUUUCAUCUGCAUAUCUUANUAGGAAUUUUUAGAGAAAAGAUUGAGCAUGCAGAGGUUCAAUUAGCAAAAAAGCAGGGUGCAGAUAGCAGUAAAAUUGCAAAAAUUUAAAAAAAGCAAAGCCCAAACCAACCAAAAGAUCCGGAUUCACCAGGAGCGUUGGAUUGAUCCAGGGAAGGAAACCCAAGAUCCAACGGCCAGGAACAAAGGGGAUUGGACCGGUCUUGGACCGGUCCGGUUCACUGGCUUAUAUAAGCAUAGGAGCACCGGUUUUUUCAUUCUUCUCUUGCCUUUCUCUCUCUUCUCUCAUCCUAGUGAGAGAAGCUCUCACUUCUCUCUUCUCCUCCCUCGUCGGAUUCUGGAAAAUGAAGAUGAACUUCAUCUUCUCCGGUGAAACUUGUUCCUCCGGCGUGGUGGUCGGCCGCCCCAAGGGAGGCGGCGCCACCGCCGGAAGUUGAACAACUUUCUCCGUUUUCAAAAUUUUUUACACUUUUGGAAAUCCUUUUUCGUUCUAAACACGAAUCCGGUACUGGUUUCUUCAUGCAAGGUUUGAAUCGUUGUAGAUCUACACUUUUGUUCACGGUUUUGAAAAAGAUUUUUCUUGAUUCUUUUUAGUGUUUUGUUGAAUGAAAUCUUUGGAACUUUGCAGAUCUAUAACUGAUUCGUGUUUGUUGAUAUUUUUGAGAAAGAAAGAUGAAAUUUGAGUUUUACCUGAGUUUUGUUUGGAGAUUAUACGAGAUUCUUCAGANACACUUUCUUUCCAAAUCCUUAACCUAAAUAAACUCUCUUUUUCAAUAAAUAAGCAUAAAAGUAAAGCGUAGACAUAAAGCUAGGAAAGCGGUUCCUAUAGAAUACUAUAGUCGUUACGGGUGCUUAACACCUUCCCGUAACGAAAACGACCCCCGAACUUAGAGUUUCUAAGGGUUUUCUCAAUUUUACCCUUCCCAAGAAAAAAUAGAGAAUAUCAAAGAUUGAAAGGUUCAAGCCUAAUUAAUGACUUGAUACCCCAAAAUCGUGAUAACAUGAAGUAUUAAGUUGAGUAGUUGGCAACACAAAGGAGACUUUAAUGAUGACAUGUCCACACUUGGGAGGGAAAUUCAAAUUUGAAAACUUGAAAUCAACAUUAAAUGAUGGUAC
RNAcentral lists this long non-coding RNA (1447 nucleotides) under Medicago truncatula (barrel medic). RNAcentral's name for it is "long non-coding RNA (MTRU_LNC008344)". The record is from RNAcentral. Lineage: Eukaryota; Viridiplantae; Streptophyta; Magnoliopsida; Fabales; Fabaceae.